AUGAAGAAAUCUGACAUUACUAAGAUGUCAAAUAGAGAGCCUGAGAAAAGAAAGAAGGUGGACGGUGGACUAAAGGUCUCAGCUGAUGCAGCAGUAAACGAUGUUGCAGCUACCGCGAAACACACAGCUUCAAAUGCAAAGGUGGAAAAUAACACCAAGAUUCAAAGAAGAAAAACUAUUGGAGGAAUAGAUUUUGAACAACUUGCAGCUUCCCAAGCCGAGGAGAAGUGGAGGUCUCUUGCAGACUUCAGGGACACCUCAGAGAAACUGUGCAUCUCUGUGAAGGCCAUAUCUGCCUUGUAUCUGUCAAAAGUGUCCCCCCAAGAACCAAAGACUCUGGUGCAAUCUGAAUUAGGAAAGAGGCCAAGACUAACAAAGGUAAAAUGUAAUUUUGGAUAAAAUGCAUGAUGAUUUGGUUUGUGCAACUGUUUGGAGUAAUUGCAAAUUGAACUGCAUUGUCAUAAACACAAAUGUUACUCGUCUGAUUUGCCAUUUCUG
This 498-nucleotide long non-coding RNA is filed under the name Neogobius melanostomus (round goby). Its description in RNAcentral is "lncRNA (ENSNMLG00000007302.1)". Lineage: Eukaryota; Metazoa; Chordata; Actinopteri; Gobiiformes; Gobiidae. The record is from RNAcentral.